GACGAACGCUGGCGGCGUGCUUAACACAUGCAAGUCGAACGGAAAGGCCCUGCUUUUGUGGGGUGCUCGAGUGGCGAACGGGUGAGUAACACGUGAGUAACCUGCCCUUGACUUUGGGAUAACUUCAGGAAACUGGGGCUAAUACCGGAUAGGAGCUCCUGCUGCAUGGUGGGGGUUGGAAAGUUUCGGCGGUUGGGGAUGGACUCGCGGCUUAUCAGCUUGUUGGUGGGGUAGUGGCUUACCAAGGCUUUGACGGGUAGCCGGCCUGAGAGGGGGACCGGCCACGUUGGGACUGGGAUACGGCCCAGACUCCUACGGGAGGCAGCAGUGGGGAAUAGUGCACAAUGGGCGGAAGCCUGAUGCAGCAACGCCGCGUGCGGGAUGACGGCCUUCGGGUUGGAAACCGCUUUCGCCUGUGACGAAGCGUGAGUGACGGUAAUGGGUAAAGAAGCACCGGCUAACUACGUG
RNAcentral lists this ribosomal RNA (468 nucleotides) under uncultured bacterium. Its description in RNAcentral is "partial 16S ribosomal RNA". It matches the Rfam family "Bacterial small subunit ribosomal RNA", at positions 28 to 507 of the family's 1533-position model. The record is from RNAcentral.